CUGAGAGGGAAAAGAGGGGAUCUGCAAGGACCUUUCGCUUUCGGAGUGGCCGAUAUCGGAUUAGCUAGUAGGUGAGGUAAAGGCUCACCUAGGCGACGAUCCGUAGCGGGUCUGAGAGGACGACCAGCCACACUGGAACUGAGACACGGUCCAGACUCCUACGGGAGGCAGCAGUGGGGAAUUUUGGACAAUGGGCGCAAGCCUGAUCCAGCCAUACCGCGUGAGUGAAGAAGGCCUUCGGGUUGUAAAGCUCUUUCAGCCGGAAAGAAAUCGCGUUUAUUAAUACUAGACGUGGAUGACGGUACCGGAAGAAGAAGCACCGGCUAACUACGUGCCAGCAGCCGCGGUAAUACGUAGGGUGCGAGCGUUAAUCGGAAUUACUGGGCGUAAAGCGUGCGCAGGCCGUUUUUUAAGACAGAUGUGAAAUCCCCGGGCUUAACCUGGGAACUGCAUUUGUGACUGGAAGACUAGAGUGUAGCAGAGGGGGGUAGAAUUCCACGUGUAGCAGUGAAAUGCGUAGAGAUGUGGAGGAAUACCGAUGGCGAAGGCAGCCCCCUGGGCUAACACUGACGCUCAUGCACGAAAGCGUGGGGAGCAAACAGGAUUAGAUACCCUGGUAGUCCACGCCCUAAACGAUGUCAACUAGGUGUUGGGGAAGGAGACUUCUUUAGUACCGCAGCUAACGCGUGAAGUGACC
Molecule: ribosomal RNA, 697 nt
Filed under: uncultured bacterium
Lineage: Bacteria
Description: bacterial SSU rRNA
Rfam family: Bacterial small subunit ribosomal RNA
Source: RNAcentral